UUGUUAUCUUUGGUUAUCUAGCUGUAUGAGUGGUGUACAUUCUUCAUAAAGCUAGAUAACCGAAAGUAACAAGAAUCCCAUUACACACCUGAAAGGCAACCAGACGCCCCACCAUCAUCAGCAAUCCAGACACAAAAUGGCUUAUACCAAACCAAAGCUGCGAGUAGUCCAUGGACACAAAGCCUUGAGAGGGUACCAGCACAUUCUGCGCCGAGGAAGCUGAGAAAAACGGAGAAAGAGGAGGAGGGGCUGCCAUUCCAACACCAGCCCCAGUCCGCCCUCCCUUUCCCAGCCUCCUCUGCUGAUGCGUCCCCUCCUCCCCUUCCUCCCUGGCUGCCUGCCCCCUUCCCCUGUAUCUAAGAUGCAGCCCACGCCACCAUCUUAGGAAAAAGGCUGGCAUGAAAUGGAAGAGCAAACCCAAGCAGGUGCAAGUGGCCACUGACUCUCUGCCUCGGGUUCUGAGAACGAACAGAGACCCUUUGUGAAGUCAUCUUGACCUGCGGAGAUGAGCCAUCACUAGAAUGUGCACUGUGCCUCAGUCUUGACCAAGGCACAACCCUCAACAGGUCUGCUUGGAACCAGAAUCGAAAAAAUGUGCUGUUUCAAUCAGGUUCUUGCCCCAACAUUUGAUUAUAGAAGCACUUCAUCCAAAUGGCUGAGCUUUUGGGACCUGAUUAGAAGCUGGACUUGUGUUUUGAGGACUGGACGUCAGUCUUCAAGAUCAAGACUGGAUUGGUUGGAGCAUGGCCUUUGAUCAUCUGACCUCUCACAAGCUGUGUUGACCUUCAGUGACAAACUGGGAAUUCUGCCCCUGCCCUGGCAAGAGGACCUGGAUUUCAAGAAACAUUUUGGAUAGAGAGACUCCAGAAGAUACAUACAUGUGUGGAUAUACAUGUCAGAAAAAAAAUUGACAGCACUUGUUUUAUGUCUUUUAAAUCCCCUAGAGUUGGGGCGACUUGCUCUUGGUCCAAGAGGGCAACAACCCCACCAGGUUUUCCAGCUCUUUUUAAACCACUUAUGUCCUCAUACCUGGGGAUAAGGGUCAGUGGGUUCAGUUAAGAUGAUUAGCUGAGUCAGGUGGGUUCAUGUUUUGGAGGAGUGAAAACAUACCAACAUAGUGGCCUUCCAGGACCAAGAGUGAGUAGCCCUGUAUGGGAGGGACACAGACAGGAAUCAUUCUGGUGCCUUCUGUACAACUACUGCAUAACACCACACUUCCACAUAUGGACAGUGUGUCAACAUGUCGCUCUGGAUAAGAGUGUCUGCCAAAUGACUAAAUUUGAAUGUAAAUAUGUACAUUCAGUAUAGGGUUAAUGUCUCAAAGCUGCCUCUGUAUGUCCUUACAGGCAGUGCAAGGUUAAGAAUAGCAGACUCAGUAACAUCUCAUGGAUAGUAAUGAUGAUACACUUCUAACAAAAAUAGUAAUUAUUUCCAUUUUGACAUUAUAUGUAAAAACACAGUGAUCUGCCUAUUGCCUUCAUCACAUCUGGACUGGACUGAUGCACACAAGCUGACUCUGACGUUUGUAUCAUGCUCUGCAGCCAUAUAGCCCGGACCCAUUCAACAGUAGAACAUGAGCAUCUGCUGAUUAACAGCAAACAUCUGCCAACAAAGGUUCUUGAGUCAAACUAAAUCUGUAUUUAAGACAUGUUCCUCCUGAACAAUUUCAGUAUUUCAUGAAAUUUGACCAGGAUAUGUCUUGGCCUGCAUGAUUUUUAUAAGAACUCUGAGUUCUUGUUUGUGCAUCUUUCAUAUACAUUUUGCCAUGGCCUAUUCCUAAAAGCAUUCUUCACAAUUUGCAGGUAUCUGAAUGUAUAACCCAUGGCAGCAGUGAAAGGAACUGCACUGUGAUUGGACAGCCCUGUGUGUUUGUUGACACACGAGUAGAGGAGUGAGCUGUCAUCUUUAUUGACUAUGCAACUGUGAGAUGAGGCUGUAGGUAGCCCUCCACUCCACCUCAGGAUGCGUGGCUACAGGCCCUAAUAUAGCUAAUUGCACUGAUAGGGCAGCAAAGGCAUACAGCUAUAAUCACAUAGAUAAGUGUUGGCAGUGAUAUUCACACUUUCGUCUACAGCCGCAAAGACCUGGAACAUCUUAAACCUCUAUGCAAUUUUAGUGCUAUUUCUGUCCCUGGGAUUGAGGUUGGUGUCUGGGGGGCAGGGAGGUGAUAUACUUUCUUGCACAUUAGAUAAAAUGGGGGGGAAUUAAUGAGUGGGAAAAAUCAUACCAGACAGUUUACAAUUUUCCAAGUUCAUAUUUGAUACAAAUGUAUUGAUUUAAUAAGUGCUGACUCAAUGUUCAACUUCAAACUAAUGUUUUGUUCUAGAAUGUUCCUGAGCAGCAUUAUGUCAGGUCACAGAGUUUCUAGCGAUACGAGAGAUCAAGGCACAUUUGAGAGAUCUGUCUGACUCAUGUAAGCAUUUUAAAAAGCAAAAGAAGCCACUCCACAGAGUUCCAUGAGAUACAUUUUAACAACAUGAAUGUAUUGAAAUUUAAACUUUACUUGAAUAAUUAUAAUAAUCCUGCUCUUGAUGAUAAAUUCGAGCAAACACUAACACACACACACACACACACACACACACACACACACACACACACACACACACACACACACACACACGCACACUUCCACUCAGCAAAUGGAAUUUUUAAGCAUGUACUAUCAGAUAUUAUAUUUAUUUAUUAAUUAAAGGGAUUCUAUAUCUAUUUCAGGGGUAGUGGCAAACAUUUAAUCCUUCAUAAUGUUCUAUGCAAAUUAGACUAUUAUCUAA
Molecule: long non-coding RNA, 2771 nt
Organism: Megalops cyprinoides (Indo-Pacific tarpon)
Lineage: Eukaryota; Metazoa; Chordata; Actinopteri; Elopiformes; Megalopidae
Exons: 3
Source: RefSeq, a predicted model, not a curated record